AUGCCUGCUGCUGUUUGGAAGGUUUGGGCCCCUCCGAAGUGCAAGUUUUUUGCUUGGUUGAUAAUUCAAAACAGAGUAUGGACGGCUGAUCGAUUGCUCCGUCGUGGCUGGCCAAACUGCAACCUUUGCCCGCUUCUCUUCCAGUGCAAGUUCUCCCAACGUGUUUGGGUACAGGUUGCUGCGUGGAUUGGCCUACAUGGUGAUGUGGUGAGGAGCUGGAGAUUUGAGGUUUCGGUUCAAGAAUGGUGGAUUAAAAAUGUGAUUGAGAGUGGAAACCAGAGAAAGGCAAUCACCUCCUUGUUCAUGUUAAUGUCUUGGGAGAUUUGGAAAGAGCGCAAUGUGAGGGUAUUCCGCAACACCGCCGCUACUAUGAUGAUGGUCGUCGCGAAGAUCAAAGAGGAGGCCCAUCUUUGGGCUUUGGCAGGUGCCACCCAUUUGAGUAUUGUGAUGCCGCGAGAGUAG
RNAcentral lists this ribosomal RNA (462 nucleotides) under Triticum aestivum (bread wheat). RNAcentral's name for it is "partial small subunit ribosomal RNA". Lineage: Eukaryota; Viridiplantae; Streptophyta; Magnoliopsida; Poales; Poaceae. The record is from RNAcentral.